Molecule: ribosomal RNA, 416 nt
Filed under: uncultured bacterium
Lineage: Bacteria
Description: bacterial SSU rRNA
Rfam family: Bacterial small subunit ribosomal RNA
Source: RNAcentral
GGAAUAUUGGACAAUGGAGGCAACUCUGAUCCAGCCAUGCCGCGUGCAGGAAGACGGUCCUCAGGAUUGUAAACUGCUUUUUUAAGGGAAUAAACCACCGAUCGAGCAUCGGUGCUGAAUGUACCUUAGGAAUAAGCACCGGCUAACUCCGUGCCAGCAGCCGCGGUAAUACGGAGGGUGCAAGCGUUAUCCGGAAUCAUUGGGUUUAAAGGGUGCGUAGGCGGGCAAGUAAGUCAGUGGUGAAAUCUCUCAGCUUAACUGGGAAACUGCCAUUGAAACUACAUGUCUUGAAUUUGGUUAGAGUGGGCGGAAUGUGUAGUGUAGCGGUGAAAUGCAUAGAUAUUACACAGAACACCGAUAGCGAAGGCAGCUCACUGAGCCUGAAUUGACGCUGAUGCACGAAAGCGUGGGGAGCG